RNAcentral lists this long non-coding RNA (617 nucleotides) under Homo sapiens (human). The record is from RNAcentral. Lineage: Eukaryota; Metazoa; Chordata; Mammalia; Primates; Hominidae.
CCUACCUCCGCUUCCUACUCUGUGACUUUGCACAUUCAAUCAUUGCCUGGCUCCACCAGCAGUAUAUAAGGUGAAAGAGGAUCCUGCCAGCUGUUCUAGGCCCAGAGGACACCUCUCUCUCUCUCUCUGUCACUCACACACACACACACACACACACACACUCUCUCUCUCUCUCUCACACACACCCACUUAUUGAUGGGGUAAUAGGAUCAAGAGGUAGCUUUGCAUCAUCAAAAAGAAGUCAGUCAUUCUAGCCUGGAGCUUUAGAAGACGAAGUAAAAAAGAAGUCAGACAGUCCUAGCUUUGAAUCCUGGCCCAGCCACUUACUAGGUGGGAGACCUUGGGACAAUCGUAUCCCUUCUGGGGGAAUUUCCCCACCUCCAUGUUGAAGCCAAGGAUGACUAGUACUCCAUGGAAAAGAGGUCAACAUGAUAACCAGGAGAUGUGGUCAUGGGGCAUUAAAAGGUUCGAAGCUGUUCCAGAAAGGAUGUCAUUGAUGUGGAAUACAGGAGCGAGUCCAGCGGAUUCGUGGAAAUGGAUGGAGGCUGCUGAGUUGAGAGACUGAGAAGUGGAGGUACCUAGGAAGGUCCUCCCUGAAAAUACAUCGGGUUGUAAAA